Molecule: ribosomal RNA, 509 nt
Filed under: uncultured bacterium
Lineage: Bacteria
Description: bacterial SSU rRNA
Rfam family: Bacterial small subunit ribosomal RNA
Source: RNAcentral
CGAACGCUGGCGGCGUGCUUAACACAUGCAAGUCGAACGCGAAAGGGACUUCGGUCCUGAGUAAAGUGGCGCACGGGCGAGUAACGCGUAGAUAACCUGUCUUCAUGUCUGGAAUAAUACGCCGAAAGGGGUACUAAUACCGGAUAUUCUUGCCUUUCAUAAGUUAUGCAAGCAAAGGUGGCCUCUGCAUAUGCUACUGCAUGAAGAGGGGUCUGCGUACCAUUAGCUAGUAGGUGGGGUAAUGGCCUACCUAGGCGACGAUGGUUAGCGGGUCUGAGAGGAUGAUCCGCCACACUGGCACUGGAACACGGGCCAGACUCCUACGGGAGGCAGCAGUGAGGAAUAUUGCGCAAUGGGGGAAACCCUGACGCAGCGACGCCGCGUGAGUGAAGGAAGGCCUUCGGGUCGUAAAGCUCUGUCAAGAGGAAAGAAGUGUACAAUGGCUAAUACCUGUUGUAUUUGACGGUACCUCUAAAGGAAGCACCGGCUAACUCCGUGCCAGCAGCCGC